Molecule: ribosomal RNA, 465 nt
Filed under: uncultured bacterium
Lineage: Bacteria
Description: partial 16S ribosomal RNA
Rfam family: Bacterial small subunit ribosomal RNA
Source: RNAcentral
GACGGACGCUGGCGGCGUGCUUAACACAUGCCAGUCGAACGGAAAGGCCCCAGCUUGCUGGGGUACUCGAGUGGCGAACGGGUGAGUAACACGUGGGUGAUCUGCCCUGCACUCUGGGAUAAGCCUGGGAAACUGGGUCUAAUACCGGAUAGGACCGUGCGCUAGUGUGUGCGGUGGAAAGUUUUUCGGUGCAGGAUGAGCCCGCGGCCUAUCAGCUUGUUGGUGGGGUAAUGGCCUACCAAGGCGGCGACGGGUAGCCGGCCUGAGAGGGUGUACGGCCACAUUGGGACUGAGACACGGCCCAGACUCCUACGGGAGGCAGCAGUGGGGAAUAUUGCACAAUGGGCGGAAGCCUGAUGCAGCGACGCCGCGUGGGGGAUGACGGCCUUCGGGUUGUAAACCGCUUUCGGCAGGGACGAAGCGUUUGUGACGGUACCUGCAUAAGAAGCACCGGCUAACUACGUG